ACUGGAGGCCUCUCUGGGCUCCCUUGCACCUGCAUCUGGGUACCAGCGCCCUGGGGAGUCACAGAGUUCCUCUCUGAGUGUAACAGUCAGGAGGAAAGGGUGACUCAGUGCGGCUUUGGAUGUGUGAUUGUGACCGGACUCUUGAUCUUUUCUUUCCUGUCCAGGCCUAAUCUUUGACCAGAGAGAGAUAAAAAGAUAAUCCGGAAUUUUCUCAGCCCAUGGAUUUAUAGUGAGAAGCGAUGGGGGAAGAUGCCUGCCCCGGAGUCACAAAACCCCUCCACCCUGAGAUUCAGGAUGUUAGGGUUGGUGUGAAGCGCCUGGCCCAGCGCCCGCCGGGUUGAUUGUUCCAGGCUGACCAGGACCACGGCUGCUGCGAGGGCCGCAUCUCUGCGUGUGAUGGGGACAGGAGCGCCUGACGGCAGCUCCCUCUGACCUAUUGUGAACCUGAGCUUGAUCAAUGUGAAGCAGGGCCUGCUGGGUUAAAGAUGAACAAGGGCGCAGCCUGCCUGCCUGCUCUGCUCCGGGCCAUCUCUAACACCCCUGCUUGGGUUCUGUGCCUAAGGAGUUGCAUCAGGAUAUUUUGGGGCAUGUCCCUGUGCGUGCAAAUAUAAAGGGGACAGCGGCCAGUCUGUGACCAGUGACUAUGGCCAUCAUGAACAGCAGUCUCAGGGUGGAUGCUUCUGUUGUGCACAGGAAGACUGGACGUGUGCUCCUGCUAACAGCCCCGAGCUGACGGUGUCACCCCCUCCGUGUAGUUCUGCUCCGGCGGCAUCAUCGUGUUGGGCUUUGUUCUGGAAGAAGGAAUACUGCUUGAAUUCCCCAUACCACCACUGCGGGAUUCUGCUGGGGAAGAAAGAAACAGUCAUGCGAAGCCUUCCCUUCCAUGCGCUUACAGUUGAAUAAGCUGCACAAGCCACAGGCACAAUGGAGCUGUCCCGGCUGGAAACCCCAUGGCUUUCCUCAUCAGCACUCCAGGGAUUUGAAGUACAGAGAAGUUGCUGUAUAGGUCCGUGUGUGGACCAGCAGACCAGCGCCUUGCUUUCCUGAGUCAGCAGCUUCCUGGACCAUGGAGAACGUCGGAGAAGGGCCUUCUGAGAGCAGCUGGUCAUCGUCACCCCACCUGCUUAUGGAUGCAGGAGCACAGACUCAGGGUGGAGCAUGAAUGGAGGAUUGGUGAAACGCCACCAGACUUCACAUCCGGGUGUCUUUAUCAGAAGUUGUUUGGUUUUUGAAUCAAGAUCCCAGGGUACUAUGUUGCUCUAUUUCCACACAUUCUGUCUAGAUGUCUCUAGGACCUUCCUGAAGAGUGUUGGAGAAUGGAUGAGCAGUAACCAUGGCGAAACAGACAGACGAGAAAACUACUGCUCAGAGAUGGGAAGGAACUCGGAGGUCACACUGCGAUAAGUGGCAGAGAUGGACGUCCACAGGCUAAGGGCAGCUCUGGGGCACUGUCAAAAGUUGUCAGCUGAUGGGAGACUGUGAUGAAAUUGUAUAGGAGACACACAGGAGUAACACUGGACCAGAGAGAAUUCAACACCUUGUUCCAAAAGAC
This is a long non-coding RNA of Perognathus longimembris pacificus (Pacific pocket mouse), 1552 nucleotides long. RefSeq lists it as uncharacterized. The transcript is spliced from 5 exons. The record is from RefSeq and is a predicted model, not a curated record. NCBI's taxonomy places the organism in Eukaryota, Metazoa, Chordata, Mammalia, Rodentia, Heteromyidae.